RNAcentral lists this ribosomal RNA (1059 nucleotides) under unidentified rumen bacterium 30-14. RNAcentral's name for it is "bacterial SSU rRNA". It matches the Rfam family "Bacterial small subunit ribosomal RNA", at positions 8 to 1066 of the family's 1533-position model. Lineage: Bacteria; Pseudomonadati; Bacteroidota; Bacteroidia; Bacteroidales; Bacteroidaceae. The record is from RNAcentral.
AGAGUUUGAUCCUGGCUCAGGAUGAACGCUAGCNACANGCCUAACACAUGCAAGUCGAGGGGCAGCGGGAUUGAAGCUUGCUUUAAUUGCCGGCGACCGGCGCACGGGUGCGUAACAGGUGUGCAAUCUGUCCAUAGUCGGGGAAUAGCCCAGCGAAAGUUGGAUUAAUGCUCCAUGUGAGCGAGUGCCGCAUGACACUUGCUUGAAACGUAAGGACUAUGGGUGAGCACGCUUCUGAUUAGAUAGUUGGUGAGGUAACGGCCCACCUAGCCGACGAUCAGUAGGGGUUCUGAGAGGAAGGUCCCCCACAUUGGAACUGAGACACGGUCCAAACUCCUACGGGAGGCAGCAGUGAGGAAUAUUGGUCAAUGGACGGAAGUCUGAACCAGCCAAGUAGCGUGCAGGAUGACGGCCCUAUGGGUUGUAAACUGCUUUUUUAGGGGAAUAAAGUUAGCCACGUGUGGUUAUUUGCAUGUACCCUACGAAUAAGGACCGGCUAAUUCCGUGCCAGCAGCCGCGGUAAUACGGAAGGUCCGGGCGUUAUCCGGAUUUAUUGGGUUUAAAGGGAGCGCAGGCCGUUUGGUAAGCGUGUUGUGAAAUGUCCGGGCUCAACCUGGGCACUGCAGCGCGAACUGUCAGACUUGAGUGCACAGGAAGCGGGCGGAAUUCGUGGUGUAGCGGUGAAAUGCUUAGAUAUCACGAAGAACUCCAAUUGCGAAGGCAGCUCGCUGUAGUGUUACUGACGCUAAAGCUCGAAAGUGCGGGUAUCGAACAGGAUUAGAUACCCUGGUAGUCCGCGCGGUAAACGAUGGAUGCUCGUUGUGCGGCCAUUCUGGUUGCGCGACCAAGCGAAAGCGUUAAGCAUCCCACCUGGGGAGUACGCCGGCAACGGUNAAACUCAAAGGAAUUGACGGGGGCCCGCACAAGCGGAGGAACAUGUGGUUUAAUUCGAUGAUACGCGAGGAACCUUACCCGGGCUUGAACUGCAGAGGAAAGAUCCAGAGAUGGUGAUNNUCGGGGCCUCUGCGGAGUGCUGCAUGGUUGUCGUCAGCUCGUGCC